GUGCCAGCAGCCGCGGUAAUACGAAGGGUGCAAGCGUUACUCGGAAUUACUGGGCGUAAAGCGUGCGUAGGUGGUUUGUUAAGUCUGAUGUGAAAGCCCUGGGCUCAACCUGGGAAUGGCAUUGGAAACUGGCUUACUAGAGUGCGGUAGAAGGGGUGUGGAAUUCCCGGUGUAGCAGUGAAAUGCGUAGAUAUCGGGAGGAACAUCUGUGGCGAAGGCGACACCCUGGACCAGCACUGACACUGAGGCACGAAAGGUGGGGAGCAAACAGGAUUAGAUACCCUGGUAGUCC
This 292-nucleotide ribosomal RNA is filed under the name uncultured microorganism. RNAcentral's name for it is "partial 16S ribosomal RNA". It matches the Rfam family "Bacterial small subunit ribosomal RNA", at positions 505 to 796 of the family's 1533-position model. The record is from RNAcentral.